GAUGUAUAGGAUUGUAUCACAGGGACGCAAGCGAUGAAUGUUACUUGAUCAACGCUAUUGAAAAAGAGGAAAAUUGUGCCGACUUGGAUUGGAUUAGCUGGAAAGCAUAUAAAAAAACUAAAGACCUCGGCGAGUGCAGCCAAUAUUUAUUGGUGAACAAGAAGUUCCCUGCUCGGCUGAACUUUGUUCCGAGUGAUAACGAUGGAAUUGGUGGUAUUAACGUGACGGGCAACUAUAAAUUUAUAAGUCUACCAAACUUUUCCAAAGUUCGGGGAUUUGCAAUCCUAGGAAGGUGGCGAAAUGGAACUAUUGACUCUUGCUGUGAUGAUAGGGUGACAUCUUUUUAUAUUCACCAUAGUGCUGACUAUGAAGAAUGGGUCUGGGCGGACAAUAAAAGAUUAUUUGAGGGUAAUGUGAUUCCGGAUGCCGGAAAUGAGAUUGUCGUCAAUGUGUUUCAGACGCCUGUAGAAGUGAGAUUCUUAGCGUUGUUUCCCGCAGAUAAUCAAGGGCAAAAGAUCAUCCGUUAUGAUGUGAUUGGUUGUGAAAUAUGACAUCAAACAUUUGAUAAUUCUCUGAGGCUGAGAUGCCCAAAAUGUUUCAGUCUUUCGCCUAAUAUUAUGUUUGAAUUUAUUGUAGUCGGAUAGAAUUGCAGU
This is a long non-coding RNA of Ruditapes philippinarum (Manila clam), 653 nucleotides long. RefSeq lists it as uncharacterized. Lineage: Eukaryota; Metazoa; Mollusca; Bivalvia; Venerida; Veneridae. The transcript has 4 exons. The record is from RefSeq and is a predicted model, not a curated record.